AGAAGGUCGUGCCCUUCCCAGUGGGUAUACGAGCCUAAACGGACGCGGUAAAUCGUGCUAAGGUAGCUAAAUUAUGGCCUAUUAAUUGUAGGUCCUGUGAAUGGUUUGACGAGUCUUUAUCUGUCUCAAAGUUAUUUUGGUGAACUUGAAUUAAAUGUGCAAAUGCAUUUAUGAGGGAGAAAGACGAGAAGACCCCGUGAAGUUAGAAGUUUUGGCUGGGGCAGCGAAAAGGCAAAGCUAGACCUUUUUUGUCUUUAGACGGGUGCGUUAUGAUCCACAUGUUUUGGAAGAUGUGCUUAACAGAAGAAGUUACUCCGGGGAUAACAGCGUUAUCCAUCCUGACAGCUCUUAUAGAUGGGUGGGUUUGCGACCUCGAUGUUGGCUCUGGGUGUCCCGAGGCUGUAGGCGGUCUCAAAGGUUGGUUUGUUCGCCCAUUAAAACCCC
Molecule: ribosomal RNA, 444 nt
Filed under: Caribachlamys sentis
Lineage: Eukaryota; Metazoa; Mollusca; Bivalvia; Pectinida; Pectinidae
Description: partial 16S ribosomal RNA
Rfam family: Bacterial large subunit ribosomal RNA
Source: RNAcentral